GACGAACGCUGGCGGCGUGCUUAACACAUGCAAGUCGAACGGAAAGGCCCUGCUUUUGUGGGGUGCUCGAGUGGCGAACGGGUGAGUAACACGUGAGUAACCUGCCCUUGACUUUGGGAUAACUUCAGGAAACUGGGGCUAAUACCGGAUAGGAGCUCCUGCUGCAUGGUGGGGGUUGGAAAGUUUCGGCGGUUGGGGAUGGACUCGCGGCUUAUCAGCUUGUUGGUGGGGUAGUGGCUUACCAAGGCUUUGACGGGUAGCCGGCCUGAGAGGGUGACCGGCCACAUUGGGACUGAGAUACGGCCCAGAAUCCUACGGGAGGCAGCAGUGGGGAAUAUUGCACAAUGGGCGGAAGCCUGAUGCAGCAACGCCGCGUGCGGGAUGACGGCCUUCGGGUUGUAAACCGCUUUCGCCUGUGACGAGGCGUGAGUGACGGUAAUGGGUAAAGAAGCACCGGCUAACUACGUG
RNAcentral lists this ribosomal RNA (468 nucleotides) under uncultured bacterium. RNAcentral describes it as "partial 16S ribosomal RNA". It matches the Rfam family "Bacterial small subunit ribosomal RNA", at positions 28 to 507 of the family's 1533-position model. The record is from RNAcentral.